AGGACUUUUUCACAGUGACUCUGCAUAGUGGGCCAUUCCUGGGAGAAGAAAAACAUUUAUUGCAGAGGUGAUGCAGAACCAUGAUACAGGUCCUCAAGUGCAACGCUGAUCUGAGCUGCUGCUGCCUUCGCCUGAUCCUCAACCAGCUUCCUCACAGACAGCCAGAGUCGUGUUCCUGAUCAAACAGGGUUUGGAGGGAAACCUCUGUCCACAUUCAGGGCAGCUGACGUCCCUCUGCUCCCC
Non-coding RNA from Poecilia reticulata (guppy), 243 nucleotides. NCBI's taxonomy places the organism in Eukaryota, Metazoa, Chordata, Actinopteri, Cyprinodontiformes, Poeciliidae. The record is from RefSeq and is a predicted model, not a curated record.